This 433-nucleotide ribosomal RNA is filed under the name uncultured bacterium. Its description in RNAcentral is "partial 16S ribosomal RNA". It matches the Rfam family "Bacterial small subunit ribosomal RNA", at positions 29 to 507 of the family's 1533-position model. The record is from RNAcentral.
AACGAACGCUGGCGGCAUGCCUAACACAUGCAAGUCGAACGAGACCUUCGGGUCUAGUGGCGCACGGGUGCGUAACGCGUGGGAACCUGCCCUUAUGUUCGGAAUAACUCCCCGAAAGGGGGGCUAAUACCGGAUAAGGUCUUCGGACCAAAGAUUUAUCGCCUUUGGAUGGGCCCGCGUUGGAUUAGGUAGUUGGUGGGGUAAAAGCCUACCAAGGCGACGAUCCAUAGCUGGUCUGAGAGGAUGAUCAGCCACACUGGGACUGAGACACGGCCCAGACUCCUACGGGAGGCAGCAGUGGGGAAUAUUAGACAAUGGGCGAAAGCCUGAUCCAGCCAUGCCGCGUGAGUGAUGAAGGCCUUAGGGUUGUAAAGCUCUUUCACCCGGGAUGAUAAUGACGGUACCGGGAGAAUAAGCCCCGGCUAACUCCGUG